AAUACAGCUGAGAGCCUCUGUUGACAGAUGGAUGCCUUCUUAAUCACAGCCUGUGCGGGACACCCACACGACUAGGAGGAGGCAGAAAGUGAACAGGGCGCUCUUAUUACUUUUUGAGUGGCAGCAAGUUAAGAUAUCAUCUCCAGAAAACUGUGCUAGUUGGCAUCCAGCAGUGCCCAAGUAUUAUUUAACCCAUUAGAACCUGUGACUGCAUCAGCUUUAUAUCCUGGACCUCAGCCUGGAACAAAGGAGAGUUACACUUGGAUACUAAACACAAGUGGUCUGGAUAGAUUAUGCUGGGAAAAGAAGCCUGGAGUGGGCAGUACAGUGGGAGAACAAGAAAAUUAUGCAAGACAUCUCACAGAGCAGAAUCAGACUUGCAGCCCAUGAUAAAACAGAAGACCGACUGUAACAUCAAAGAAAUACAGAAGAUUUUAUGGCUUGCUGUUUACCUACAAGGGAAAUGCCUGAAUGCCUGAAUGAAAUCACUCCUUAUCCUUGGGAGAAAAUGACAAGAAAUGACAGCCACGGAAUCUUCCUCUGGAUAUGGGAACAAAAAUAGCUCUCAGAAUAAAUAGUGGCCACACCCAGAUGGAGUUUUGCUCUUGUUGCCCAGUCUUGAGUGCAAUGGCAUGAUCUCGGCUCACCGCAACCUCUGCCCCCAGGUUCAAGGGAUUCUCCUGCCUCAGCCUCCUGAGUAGUUGGGAUUACAGUGAUGACUUUAGUCAGAAGUGUGCUGGAGCAGUUUGCAGAGCCUUGCAAAAUUGAUGGUGCCUAUCUAUUUCCAGCGCUAUGUUCAUCAAUGCCAGGACCACCAUGAAGGAGCACACCAUUAAAUAUCCAUGAGAAUGUGUUCCAAGGAUGAACUCUACAGCACACAUCAUCUGUCCUCUAGAGCCCCAGCUUUGCAGAGUUGAGCCCUGGAACAGCAGCAGCAGCACUCUCUGAGAGCCUGCUAAAAAGGCAGAAUCUCUGGCCCCAUUCAGACCACCUGGAUCAAAAUCUGCAAUGUAACAAAAUCUCCUGAUAUGAUAAUAUUGGAGAGGCACAGGCCUAAAUUAUUUUGACUAUUUCUUUAAAAGUGAAAGCAAAUAGGUGUAUCUACUCAGUGUCAAUAUCAAGAAUAUUAUAGAAACUAUAGUAUUUGCUGGAGUAUUUAUCAUUAGCUUUAAGUAUAAGAUACUCCGUGGUGUUUCAGCAAUUAGUAAAAACACCAUCCAUCCAUUUUUUCAAAAGUCGCAUUGCCAAGAUUAUUAAACCUGUUGUAUGCACUAAAA
Symphalangus syndactylus (siamang) is the source of this 1277-nucleotide long non-coding RNA. RefSeq lists it as uncharacterized. NCBI's taxonomy places the organism in Eukaryota, Metazoa, Chordata, Mammalia, Primates, Hylobatidae. The record is from RefSeq and is a predicted model, not a curated record.